RNAcentral lists this ribosomal RNA (444 nucleotides) under uncultured bacterium. RNAcentral describes it as "SSU rRNA". It matches the Rfam family "Bacterial small subunit ribosomal RNA", at positions 26 to 518 of the family's 1533-position model. The record is from RNAcentral.
AGAGCGAACGCUGGCGGCAGGCCUAAUACAUGCAAGUCGAACGGAUCCUUCGGGAUUAGUGGCGGACGGGUGAGUAACACGUGGGAACGUACCCUUUGGUUCGGAACAACUCAGGGAAACUUGAGCUAAUACCGAAUGUGCCCUUCGGGGAAAAGAUUUAUCGCCAUUGGAGCGGCCCGCGUCUGAUUAGCUAGUUGGUAGGGUAAAGGCCUACCAAGGCUACGAUCAGUAGCUGGUCUGAGAGGAUGAUCAGCCACACUGGGACUGAGACACGGCCCAGACUCCUACGGGAGGCAGCAGUAGGGAAUCUUGCGCAAUGGGCGAAAGCCUGACGCAGCCAUGCCGCGUGAAUGAUGAAGGUCUUAGGAUUGUAAAAUUCUUUCAGCGGGGACGAUAAUGACGGUACCGCAGAAGAAGCCCCGGCUAACUCGUGCCAGCAGCCGC